This 279-nucleotide long non-coding RNA is filed under the name Coturnix japonica (Japanese quail). Its description in RNAcentral is "lncRNA (ENSCJPG00005007811.1)". Lineage: Eukaryota; Metazoa; Chordata; Aves; Galliformes; Phasianidae. The record is from RNAcentral.
UGUGCUUGUAAGUGAUCUCUUGUGGGGCUUCUCACGUCUGUGGUUGCAGGUUUUAGCCACAUCUGAGAGAAGGUGCUGCAGUGCUGAUGAGAGUGAUCACUGGAAACAGAAAGGUUGUGAGAGCAGGAGAGAUGAAAACUGCUAAUUCUUCAAAUGCAAGUGAGGAGCUGUGAUAAAACCCAACUUUGUGCCUACACCAAUGUCAACCAGCAGACUGCCUACAGAAUGGGGCGCCUCACAGAGCACAACCUGCCAGAAGAACAGGUGUGUAGGUGUUUU